RNAcentral lists this non-coding RNA (82 nucleotides) under unclassified sequences. RNAcentral's name for it is "freshwater-2 RNA". It matches the Rfam family "freshwater-2 RNA". Rfam says of the family: Aquatic, esp. fresh water. No recognized genes The record is from RNAcentral.
ACUCGCAUGGUGUGAGUUUUAUGCGGAAAUCCAACCGCGUACAGCCUAGAACGCUGUUUUUCAUCAAGGAGAAAACAAAAUG